This 27-nucleotide non-coding RNA is filed under the name Mus musculus (house mouse). Lineage: Eukaryota; Metazoa; Chordata; Mammalia; Rodentia; Muridae. The record is from RNAcentral.
UAGCUCCAGUGUUUAAGAAAGUGACUG